CAGAAUGAGAGAUUGGUACAGGUUGAAGGGAAAUGCUGCCCAGAAUGUUGGCAUCCUCUACUGUGCAAGUUUGAUAAUAUUGUCUAUCAGUCUGGGGACACCUGGCACCCUGACCCAUGUACUGUUUGUAACUGUGUCUCUGGGGAGAGCCUGUGUUACCAGAAGACAUGUUCUGCCUGUGCCCCAGGCAUGGUGCCUGUCAGGGUAGGAGAAGAGUGCUGUGGCCAAUGUAGGACAGUGGAGUGUGGCCCAGACUGUGCAGAGUGUCUGCCUGAUGAGCCCAGUGUCUGUAGGACCUGCCAUGAUGAGAGGA
Liolophura sinensis is the source of this 313-nucleotide long non-coding RNA. RefSeq lists it as uncharacterized. NCBI's taxonomy places the organism in Eukaryota, Metazoa, Mollusca, Polyplacophora, Chitonida, Chitonidae. The transcript has 3 exons. The record is from RefSeq and is a predicted model, not a curated record.